Molecule: long non-coding RNA, 258 nt
Filed under: Elaeis guineensis (African oil palm)
Lineage: Eukaryota; Viridiplantae; Streptophyta; Magnoliopsida; Arecales; Arecaceae
Description: long non-coding RNA (EGUI_LNC046591)
Source: RNAcentral
UCUUUCCGUCGAUCUUCUAAAGAUUGACGUCUUCUUAACAGAUUUUUCUGAAUAAGGUGGUAGCGAUGCAGAAUGCCUGAUAAGCUAAUGAGACUUCGACUUCUUGGCAUGAGCUAUGGCUCCAGUGCUGUACAAUACAGUAGGACCAUCAUCGGAAGGUGCCACUCCUAGCUUGCCAGUGAACCUAUGCAAUCACAUAGCUUCCUUGUAAGCAUCGAAUUUUGCAAUACAUUCUGCCUCGUAAUUUGAAUUUGGCUA